CCCUUAGAUGUUCUGGGCAGCACGCGCGCUACAAUGGUCUUCGCAAACGGAUGCAUUCUCGAAGGAGAAUGCCAAUCUUGGAAUCUAUGCCUUGGUCGGGACAGUUGCUUGCAAUUUUUCGACUCGAACCAGGAAUUCCUUGUAAUCGUGAUUCAUCACAUCACGAUGAAUACGUCCCUGCCCUUUGUACACACCGCCCGUCGCUCCUACCGAUCGAAGAGUUAGGUGAAUUGUUUUGAUCGAUAAGAUUUGACUAUGGUCAACUCUCGUUGUGAAAUUCUGUGAAUCUGACUGUUUAGAGGAAGGAAAAAUCGUAACA
Molecule: ribosomal RNA, 319 nt
Filed under: uncultured eukaryote
Lineage: Eukaryota
Description: partial 18S ribosomal RNA
Rfam family: Eukaryotic small subunit ribosomal RNA
Source: RNAcentral